Molecule: ribosomal RNA, 393 nt
Filed under: uncultured bacterium
Lineage: Bacteria
Description: partial 16S ribosomal RNA
Rfam family: Bacterial small subunit ribosomal RNA
Source: RNAcentral
AUACGGAGGAUCCGAGCGUUAUCCGGAUUUAUUGGGUUUAAAGGGUGCGCAGGCGGGUGAUUAAGUCGGCGGUGAAAUUUUUCGGCUCAACUGUAAAAGUGCCUUCGAAACUGGUUUUCUUGAGUGUAGAAGAAGAAGGCGGAAUUUGUGGUGUAGCGGUGAAAUGCAUAGAUAUCACGAGGAACUCCGAUUGCGCAGGCAGCUUACUAAACUACUACUGACGCUCAGGCACGAAGGCGUGGGGAUCAAACAGGAUUAGAUACCCUGGUAGUCCACGCAGUAAACGAUGAUUACUAGCUGUUUGCGAUACAAUGUAAGCGGCUGAGCGAAAGCGUUAAGUAAUCCACCUGGGGAGUACGUUCGCAAGAAUGAAACUCAAAUGAAUUGGCGGGG